Molecule: ribosomal RNA, 118 nt
Filed under: Jaculus jaculus (lesser Egyptian jerboa)
Lineage: Eukaryota; Metazoa; Chordata; Mammalia; Rodentia; Dipodidae
Source: RNAcentral
AUAUGAGUCUAUACAACCCUGAACACAUUCAGUUUUAUCUGAUCCUGGAAGCUAAGCAGGGUUGGGCCUGGUUGGUACUCAGAUGGAAAAGUUUUGUGAAUGUGAUGAUCCUCAUGAU